AUCGGAUCCGAGAGUCUUUUUCUAAAGGCCAGUACUGGCCACACUUUCUCCUGCCGCCUUCCUCAAAGCUGAAGACACACAGAGCAAGGCGCUUCUGUUUUACUCCCCAAUGGUAACUCCAAACCAUAGAUGGUUAGCUCCCUGCUCAUCUUUCCACAUCCCUGCUAUUCAGUAUAGUCCGUGGACCAAUCACACCAGCAUCGUAUGGGAGAGUGUAAGAAACAUGAAUCUGCAUGUCAACGAGAUCCCCAGAAAAUGAGGAGUGAAAUGGCCAGCUCAAACCCUCACUUCAAUAAAUGGUGCUGGGACAAGUAGAUAUCUACAUGCAUAAAAAUCAAGCUGACUCCUUCCUCACACUGUAAAACUGACUCAAAAUGUAUCACAGACCAAAUGUAAGGGAUUAAAACUAUUAAAACUCUCAGAAUAAAAUAUAAGAGUAAAUCUUUGUGACCUUGGGUUAGGCAAAGCUUUCACAGAUAUGAUACCAAAGGCGUAAGUGACAAAAGAAAAGAGAUAAAUUGGACUAUAUUAAAAUUAAAAACUUAUGCCAGGCGCGGUGGCUCACGCCU
This 569-nucleotide long non-coding RNA is filed under the name Homo sapiens (human). RNAcentral's name for it is "HSALNT0382357". The record is from RNAcentral. Lineage: Eukaryota; Metazoa; Chordata; Mammalia; Primates; Hominidae.